Trichonephila inaurata madagascariensis is the source of this 71-nucleotide non-coding RNA. The record is from the annotation of a GenBank genome assembly. Lineage: Eukaryota; Metazoa; Arthropoda; Arachnida; Araneae; Nephilidae.
GUUAUAACGCUAUGGGUAGCGUGUUGGACUUUUAAUCCAAAAGUCAUGGAUUCGAAUCCUACCUGGAUGCC